This 62-nucleotide microRNA precursor is filed under the name Ixodes scapularis (black-legged tick). RNAcentral's name for it is "Isc-Novel-1_pre stem-loop". The record is from RNAcentral. Lineage: Eukaryota; Metazoa; Arthropoda; Arachnida; Ixodida; Ixodidae.
GGUGAGAGGACAUAGCCAGUGCUGUUAUUUUCGAUUGGCAGUGGUCAUGUCUUCGCACUGGA